GAUCAUGGCUCAGGACGAACGCUGGCGGCGUGCUUAACACAUGCAAGUCGAACGAAGAGCGAUGGAAGCUUGCUUCUAUCAAUCUUAGUGGCGAACGGGUGAGUAACGCGUAAUCAACCUGCCCUUCAGAGGGGGACGAACAGUUGGAAACGACUGCUAAUACCGCAUACGAUCUAACCUCGGCAUCGAGGAAAGAAUGAAAGGUGGGCCUCUAUGUAUAAGCUAUCACUGAAGGAGGGG
Molecule: ribosomal RNA, 240 nt
Filed under: uncultured bacterium
Lineage: Bacteria
Description: partial 16S ribosomal RNA
Rfam family: Bacterial small subunit ribosomal RNA
Source: RNAcentral